UGAAGCCGUAUGCGGGGAAACUCGCACGUACGGUUUUUAUGGGGGAAUGCUGCAGCAAUGCAGUGUUCCUACCUACUCAUCU
Molecule: non-coding RNA, 82 nt
Filed under: Legionella israelensis DSM 19235
Lineage: Bacteria; Pseudomonadati; Pseudomonadota; Gammaproteobacteria; Legionellales; Legionellaceae
Source: RNAcentral